AUUGAACGCUGGCGGCAUGCCUUACACAUGCAAGUCGAACGGUAACAGGUUAAGCUGACGAGUGGCGAACGGGUGAGUAAUACAUCGGAACGUGCCCAGUAGUGGGGGAUAGCCCGGCGAAAGCCGGAUUAAUACCGCAUACGACCUACGGGUGAAAGGGGGGGAUCGCAAGACCUCUCGCUAUUGGAGCGGCCGAUGUCAGAUUAGGUAGUUGGUGGGGUAAAAGCUCACCAAGCCGACGAUCUGUAGCUGGUCUGAGAGGACGACCAGCCACACUGGGACUGAGACACGGCCCAGACUCCUACGGGAGGCAGCAGUGGGGAAUUUUGGACAAUGGGCGAAAGCCUGAUCCAGCCAUGCCGCGUGCAGGAUGAAGGCCUUCGGGUUGUAAACUGCUUUUGUACGGAACGAAAAGGUUUGGCCUAAUAAGCUGAGCUCAUGACGGUACCGUAAGAAUAAGCACCGGCUAACUACGUGCCAGCCGCCGCGGUAA
Molecule: ribosomal RNA, 493 nt
Filed under: uncultured bacterium
Lineage: Bacteria
Description: partial 16S ribosomal RNA
Rfam family: Bacterial small subunit ribosomal RNA
Source: RNAcentral